GUGAGGAGGGGCUGGCAGGGAC
RNAcentral lists this microRNA (22 nucleotides) under Homo sapiens (human). RNAcentral's name for it is "hsa-miR-6858-5p". Lineage: Eukaryota; Metazoa; Chordata; Mammalia; Primates; Hominidae. The record is from miRBase by way of RNAcentral.